This 343-nucleotide unclassified non-coding RNA is filed under the name soil metagenome. RNAcentral's name for it is "partial contains 5.8S ribosomal RNA, internal transcribed spacer 2, and large subunit ribosomal RNA". The stretch from base 1 to 120 matches the Rfam family "5.8S ribosomal RNA", at positions 35 to 154 of the family's 154-position model. The record is from RNAcentral.
GAUGAAGAACGCAGCGAAACGCGAUAAGUAAUGUGAAUUGCAGAAUCCAGUGAAUCAUCGAAUCUUUGAACGCACAUUGCGCCCGCCAGCAUUCUGGCGGGCAUGCCUGUUCGAGCGUCAUUUCAACCCUCGACCUCCCCUUGGGGAGGUCGGCGUUGGGGACCGGCAGCACACCGCCGGCCCUGAAAUGGAGUGGCGGCCCGUCCGCGUCGACCUCUGCGCAGUAAUACAGCUCGCACCGGGACCCCGACGCGGCCACGCCGUAAAACACCCAACUUCUGAACGUUGACCUCGAAUCAGGUAGGACUACCCGCUGAACUUAAGCAUAUCAAUAAGCGGAGGA